Molecule: transfer RNA, 68 nt
Filed under: bovine gut metagenome
Rfam family: tRNA
About the family: Transfer RNA (tRNA) molecules are approximately 80 nucleotides in length. Their secondary structure includes four short double-helical elements and three loops (D, anti-codon, and T loops).
Source: RNAcentral
CCGUAGCUCAGUCGGCUAGAGCGCACGGCUGAUAACCGUGAGGUCACAGGUUCGAACCCUGUCGGGCC